ACCCGCUGAACUUAAGCAUAUCAAUAAGCGGAGGAAAAGAAACCAACAGGGAUUACCUCAGUAACGGCGAGUGAAGCGGUAACAGCUCAAAUUUGAAAUCUGGAGCCUUCGGCUUCCGAGUUGUAAUUUGAAGAGGAUGCUUCGGUUGUGGCCCUGGCCUAAGUUCCUUGGAACAGGACGUCGUAGAGGGUGAGAAUCCCGUACACGGCUGUGGGCCUACUUCCAUGUGAAGCUCCUUCGAAGAGUCGAGUUGUUUGGGAAUGCAGCUCAAAAUGGGUGGUAAAUUUCAUCUAAAGCUAAAUAUUGGCGAGAGACCGAUAGCGCACAAGUAGAGUGAUCGAAAGAUGAAAAGCACUUUGAAAAGAGAGUUAAACAGUACGUGAAAUUGUUGAAAGGGAAGCGCUUGCAAUUAGACUCACUUUCGGUUGAUCAACGUUCCUUCUGGUUCGUGCACUCUGCCGUUUGUGGGCCAGCAUCAGUUUGGGUGACGGGAUAAAGGCAUCGGGAAUGUGGCUCUCUUCGGGGAGUGUUAUAGCCCGGUGCGCAAUACCGCCUAUCCAGAUUGAGGUCCGCGCUUUUGCUAGGAUGCUGGCUUAAUAAUUGUAAGCGACCCGUCUUGAAACACGG
RNAcentral lists this ribosomal RNA (627 nucleotides) under Orbilia luteorubella. Its description in RNAcentral is "eukaryotic LSU rRNA". It matches the Rfam family "Eukaryotic large subunit ribosomal RNA", at positions 23 to 664 of the family's 3401-position model. The record is from RNAcentral. Lineage: Eukaryota; Fungi; Ascomycota; Orbiliomycetes; Orbiliales; Orbiliaceae.